RNAcentral lists this ribosomal RNA (497 nucleotides) under uncultured bacterium. Its description in RNAcentral is "partial 16S ribosomal RNA". It matches the Rfam family "Bacterial small subunit ribosomal RNA", at positions 28 to 507 of the family's 1533-position model. The record is from RNAcentral.
GAUGAACGCUGGCGGCGUGCCUAAUACAUGCAAGUCGAGCGAACAGAUAAGGAGCUUGCUCCUUUGACGUUAGCGGCGGACGGGUGAGUAACACGUGGGUAACCUACCUAUAAGACUGGAAUAACUCCGGGAAACCGGGGCUAAUGCCGGAUAACAUGUUGAACCGCAUGGUUCUACAGUGAAAGGCGGCUUUGCUGUCACUUAUAGAUGGACCCGCGCCGUAUUAACUAGUUGGUGAGGUAACGGCUCACCAAGGCAACGAUACGUAGCCGACCUGAGAGGGUGAUCGGCCACACUGGAACUGAGACACGGUCCAGACUCCUACGGGAGGCAGCAGUAGGGAAUCUUCCGCAAUGGGCGAAAGCCUGACGGAGCAACGCCGCGUGAGUGAUGAAGGUCUUCGGAUCGUAAAACUCUGUUAUUAGGGAAGAACAAAUGCGUAAGUAACUGUGCGCGUCUUGACGGUACCUAAUCAGAAAGCCACGGCUAACUACGUG